This 256-nucleotide ribosomal RNA is filed under the name Klebsiella quasipneumoniae subsp. similipneumoniae. RNAcentral's name for it is "partial 23S ribosomal RNA". It matches the Rfam family "Bacterial large subunit ribosomal RNA", at positions 459 to 718 of the family's 2925-position model. The record is from RNAcentral. RNAcentral also lists the same sequence under 1 other name. Lineage: Bacteria; Pseudomonadati; Pseudomonadota; Gammaproteobacteria; Enterobacterales; Enterobacteriaceae.
UCCAAGGCUAAAUACUCCUGACUGACCGAUAGUGAACCAGUACCGUGAGGGAAAGGCGAAAAGAACCCCGGCGAGGGGAGUGAAAAAGAACCUGAAACCGUGUACGUACAAGCAGUGGGAGCACCUUUAUGGUGUGACUGCGUACCUUUUGUAUAAUGGGUCAGCGACUUAUAUUCUGUAGCAAGGUUAACCGUAUAGGGGAGCCGCAGGGAAACCGAGUCUUAACUGGGCGUUAAGUUGCAGGGUAUAGACCCGA